RNA transcript from Mangifera indica (mango), 1843 nucleotides. It is a transcript of the gene named putative RING-type E3 ubiquitin transferase C3H69, with no coding region annotated. The transcript is spliced from 8 exons. NCBI's taxonomy places the organism in Eukaryota, Viridiplantae, Streptophyta, Magnoliopsida, Sapindales, Anacardiaceae. The record is from RefSeq and is a predicted model, not a curated record.
AAAAAAAUUACAUUGGGGGAUUGGGGAGUAGGGCAUUAUGGGAUUUCCAUAAAAUCUACCGCCAAAAGAAACCCUAGACUCAUGUUUCAUUGUUACAUGAAUCAAUGAUUGAAUUUCACGUGCCCCCUUCGUUUUCGCUCUCGAUUAUCUCUCACCUUUCUUUUUGCUUCCCAUCAACCAAUCCUUCAUUGGGUUUCAAUCGCUUCUUUUGAAGCAUUUUAUAACCCCCUUCCCUUCCCUUUUUCGUUUUUCGUUUUUUAAUUUUAUUUCGACAUGUCUAAGAGGGUUCUCUGCAAGUUCUUUGCGCAUGGAGCAUGUCUCAAAGGCGAGCAUUGUGAGUUUUCACAUGAUUGGAAGGAUCCUUCGCAUAAUAUAUGCACCUACUACCAGAAAGGAGUGUGCUCAUAUGGUAGUCGAUGUAGAUAUGAACACGUCAAGCCUUCUCGGCCGGAGUCAUCUGCUUCAUCUUCGUCAACAAUUUCUCAUCCUUCAAGAGCUGCUUCCAGUGGGUUAACUAGAGUUCCAGGAGUUGUUCCAGAGCUUUCUGCUUUGAGUAGACCUUAUCAUCCUCCUGAUAAACUGGUGUGGAAUUUGAAUUCUGGAACUAGUGAUUCUUUAGAGAAUCAUGAUGUGGUGCAGCGAAGGAAUCUUAAACCACCCGAUCUUUCAAUCUGCUCUUUUGCUGCUGCUGGUGAUUGUCCCCGUGGGGAAAAAUGUCCUCAUGUUCAUGGAGAUAUGUGUCCAACUUGUGGGAAGCAUUGUUUGCAUCCUUUCAGACCUGAACAAAGAGAAGAGCAUUUGAAAACAUGUGAGAAAAAGCAAAAGCACCUUGAGGCUUUAAGGCGUAGCCAGGAAAUAGAAUGCAGUGUGUGCCUGGAUCGUGUAUUAUCAAAGUCAACACCCGCUGAACGAAAGUUUGGAUUGUUGUCUGAGUGUGAUCAUCCGUUCUGUAUAUCCUGUAUCAGGAAUUGGCGUAGUAGUUCCCCAACUUCUGGGAUGGAUGUCAAUACUGCGUUGCGGGCUUGUCCAAUUUGCCGUAAGCUAUCAUACUUUGUCAUUCCAAGUGUCAUUUGGUAUUACACACCAGAAGAAAAGCAGGAAAUUGUUGAUAGCUACAAGGCAAAACUCAGGUCAAUCGAUUGCAAACACUUCAACUUUGGUGAUGGGAAUUGCCCAUUUGGAACCAGUUGUUUCUACAAGCAUGCAUAUCGAGAUGGUCGUUUGGAGGAAGUUGUUCUCCGGCACCUUGGGGCUGAAGAUGGAAACACUGUGAUAGCUAAAGAUAGCAGGCUGUCAGACUUUCUUCGUAAUUUGCAUAUAAGGUGAAAAACACUGCUAGAGUCUUCCAGUGAUAUCAAAUAUGCCUAUAGAAGCUGCAACUUUGAUUUGGAAGUCCUCUUCUAUUGUUGGUUUCAUACCAUAGUUAUUUUUUAGGAUUGCUUGCUGAGGGUGUCCUUAAAUGAGGGAAGCUGGAGCAUGGUGGGUUGUAUAACAAACUGCAUGGUAUAAGAUCUGAAUUAAAUAAGAUUGAUACGAGUCAUAUGACAGGAGUGAUGAAUUUGAAAUAAGAUUAUACAUGUCAGUUCCUCAAUAUUUUUUAGCCCACUUGGCAUGGCAUCUGCCUCAAAACUGUAUGUAUUUUGCGACUGGGUUUUAUUUGGACGUUACCAGUAUUUCUUUUUUCACUAGAAAAAAAAAAGAUUUGUGAGCUACCCUGGUAACAUAUUUCUAUACCCUGCAUAAGGUAGAAUGUUGUAUUGUAGUUGUAUGCAAGGAAAGUUUGAAAUCUAAGCAGCUACAGCCGACCUAUGAAUUUAUAUUAUGGUAAGCAGCAUAUUCCCUA